This 294-nucleotide long non-coding RNA is filed under the name Sinocyclocheilus anshuiensis. Its description in RNAcentral is "lncRNA (ENSSANG00000019116.1)". Lineage: Eukaryota; Metazoa; Chordata; Actinopteri; Cypriniformes; Cyprinidae. The record is from RNAcentral.
CAAAGCCUGGGAAAGGCCGGACUCUGCCAACGAAUCACCAGUGGGCUUGUAGAGAACUGCAGUCCCUCUAUCUGCAUCUGGGGGAAAGCGGAUCUGGAAGGAGGCCACUUAGCAACCAAAAACUCCAAGCGUAGGAUGAGUGUCCAGAUGGUGCAUUACAGGCUGCAGCAGGAAGUGAAGGACAGCUAGAGAAGCAGCUGGUCACAGGCCUGGACUGUGCAUGUUCCCCAGGCCUGUGAUCUCAUUCACACGAUGCUCGUCCCUUGACGUGGCCAAACAGCAUCUGACUUUUCG